RNAcentral lists this non-coding RNA (23 nucleotides) under Rattus norvegicus (Norway rat). Lineage: Eukaryota; Metazoa; Chordata; Mammalia; Rodentia; Muridae. The record is from RNAcentral.
UAGGGUUCUAAGGCAAAAGUCUA